AUAAUCUAAUACUAAAAAAAUAGAAUUUCUAUCAGGCUUUGUUUUUUUUCUACCUACCUAUUUGUUUCCUUUUGUUCUGCUUGUCCCUUCCUGGCUUUCGUAUUUUGACCCACUCGGAAGAACUAGCGACCACCAACACGCAUUAAAGAAAUGCUAAAAUCUCAGCAAUAUUAGGAUAUAUCUAUAUUUAUAUCUAUAUCUAAUAUUAAAGAGUAUGUCGUGUGCUCUUCCUACCCAUAGUCGUAUCUAUAUACUUUUUCUGUCUGGCUUCCGUGUUACGUCCUCAUUUUUUUUCAUCCCACAUUCGGGAUUCCUAUUUUUUAUCAAAAUACUUAGUGAUAGCAACCACACACAUUCGGAAGUCCCAGCAACUACCUACAAACAUGUGAAAAACGCUAAAAUUCAUAUCUAUACCUAAUAUUAAUUAAAGAGUCUAUCAUGCUAGACGUGUGUUUCUGGCUUCCGUGUUCCAUCCGUCCUCACUUUUUUCAUCGGAAGUCCCACAGCAAGUUCUUUUUUAUAUAUCAAAAGUCCCAACGAGCACCCACAGGAAAUCCCAGUGAGCUAAAAAUAAAAGCCAAGUGAGGGAACCAAGAUCUCCAUAGUAGAAGAUCAAAUGCAUACCAACAAAACAGAUGUUUUAUGUGAUGUUUGACAAAAUCUUUUCUAUUUAACCAAGUAGUUAACACCUUAUGAAUAUAUUAGAAUAAUCUGUAUAUAUUAUAUACAUAAUAUUAAAAUAUAUAAUGUUUAUGGAAGGGAAAUCUACAUCCGUGCAUGGUAGAGAGUAUCCACAAAAUAAAGUUGAUGAUGCAUCGGUGCAUCGUGUGGAGUCCGAUUCUAAGAUAAAACAUGUCCAUACAAGUUAGAUCAACAUCAUCUACAUAUGGUAUUGAGUCAUAUUCUAUAAAUAAAUUAGAAUAGAUGACACCAACAUAGAAUAAAACACCAAACCAUGUAAUUCAUUAACUGUUAUAUAUACCUAUUCUUUUGCCCGCCUUUUUUUACGUCACACAAGCUCUCACGUUUCUUUGGUCUCUAUCUUGUUUGUAACCCACGCUCAUGCCUAACAUUACAGAGCCAAAAUUUUAUCUUUUUUUGGAAGGUCGAGUCAAAACUGUAUUAAAGAACCAACAUUUUAUUCCAUAUAUUUCGAAGGUGGAGCCCAUUUUUUAAGUAAAAAGGCUAAGGUGGAUUAGAAGAAAUGCUUCAAUCUUUAAUAUUAAAAAUAGAAAAGAAAAGAAAAGAAAAGAAAAGAAAAGAAAAGAAAAGAAUAGAAUAGAAUAGAAUAGAAUAGAAUAGAAUAGAAUAGAAUAGAAUAGAAUAGAAUAGAUAAAGAUAUAGGUAUAUUGGUAGAAAUAUAUGGAUGCGUGUUACAAGAUAUAAAGGGCACGGGGAUAGUUUGACAAGUAAACAAGCGGGGUAAAAGAAAGGAACUCAUACAGAGGUAUAGUUUAGGAAGUAAAAAGGCUAAGGUGGAUUAGAAGAAACGAUUCAACCUUUAAUAUUAAAAUAGAAUUGAUAGAGAUAGAGAUAGAGAUAGAGAUAAAGAUAGAGAUAUAUGAAUUCGUGUUACAUACAAGAUAUAAAGAAUGUGAGGACAAUUUGAAAAAGUAAACAAGUGGGACUAGAAAAAGGAACCACAUACAGAGGUAGUUUAGGAAGUGAAAAAAAGGUUAAGGUGGAUUGAAAGAAAUGCUUCGAUUUUAAUAAUAAAAAUAAAAUAAAAUAGAUAGAUAGAUAGAUAGAUAGAUAGAUAGAUAGAUAGAUAGAUAGAUACAACCAAUUUCUUGAUAUAUAUGGAUAUAUAUAGAUAGAUAUGGAUCGGAUCGGAUGGAUCGAUCAAUCCAUGCAUCUGUCUCCUCAACCGAUCAGCUGCCGGCCUGCCGCCGAUCCUAAAUUCCUAAGUGCAAUCGAGAUGUCUGCGUUUGUUUUCCCGGCCCGGGCCAUCUCCAGCUGGCCUGCUGUUCAUCGGGCAAGUACCGACGUACGGCGUGCCCGUUUAAAGGCCGGCCCUGCCGCAGCACACUCACCUGUAGUGCCACAGCGACGACAUGCUGAUUGCUUCCUUGCAUUGGUAGCUAGCGGGUGCGUGCAUGCGUACGUGCAUAUCCCAGGCCGGUCUCGAUCACACAACAAGGAAAGUGCGUGAUGUACUGUUCGAUCCUACUGUGGUGCACUGUGCAGGCAGAGGCCCCCGGCCCGGCCUUUAUUUUGUAGCGCAAAAUGGCACUGCUUGCAUUUGUGCUCUAUCUGCCUAUUAGUUGUUUAAAGCAUGCAGCAGAUCAACAGCACUACAGUAGUAUGUAACAGAACUGCAUGUAUAGCCUGAAAAGAGAAUAAGUGUACUAAAGUGGCCUCAGCAACAGUACUAUUUUUCUGCUUUUGCAUGGAUGGUAGUACAUUGUUGGCACGUGGUGGUUACUAGUUCAAUUAUUCCAGCCUCUCACUGAGUCCGUACGUACGUACGCACGUACCAUAUAUAUACAUGCACACGUUGCUCUCAACUACUACUAUACUAGUGAUGAUGAUGAACCCGAAGAUGGGUAACCAUCUUGGUUUCAGCUCGGACGUCGUCACUCUCAUAUGAUUGAUGACCUGGAGUAUAUCAUCUGACAGCUGCUGCUAUAUAUAUACGCUAGACAUUCACGAGAAAGGAAUGGAAGAUAGGAGUAGUACGUGGUCGUCGCCUCCGGCCGGCCCGUGUACGGUUCAACACAAGCUCGUGUCAUCAUAAAUUAAUAACAAGAGACAUGGAACGUGGAAAUAUUCACAUAUGUAGGGCCAUAUAGCAAGACAUGCGACGUCUUGUCUGUGCCCCUGCCCUAGCUAGCUAGCUGGGAUGAUGAAUAUUCCUUCUCGCAAGCAGAGGGCACGCAUCCACGCACGCAUGAUGUUGGCGCGCGACAUAUUCCGUGCUGGGGAAAGGGACCCGGCCGGCGGCCCAGAGAUGAUGAUGAUCCCGGAGGUCAAGUAGAAGCGACACAGCAUAUAUGCCUAGAUCGCUUUUGCCAGCCACAGGUGCAGGGGUAUGGUGCACAAGCUGGGGAUUGACUCUGCAACAACGUUACAUGUCGUGUUGGCUGCUUGUGUACAUUUGUAUGCACACACGAGCAUAUAUGUAGUAUAGUUGAUGUCUUCUUGUUAUACAUUACCACUACUUUUAUGAACACUUUCCAAUGCACAUAGUAUAUAUGGCCAUGGAUGGUUGCCAUGAUUUGCAGUCAAAACUAGUAGACACAGGGUAGGAGACGUAGCCUGGACAAAUUACCCGAUACCCAUUACCCGUACCCGAAUUACUCGGACCCGAACCCGAGGUACCCGAUCCUAAAUUCGGAUAGCGAUUUUGAUUACCCGAAAUUAGUUUGGGUAAUUCGGGUAAUAUCCCCCGGUACCCGAACUACCUGAAUUAUCCAAAUAUUUGUCUAAAUCUUUGUAUUUAUCAUGUGUUGUUAGUUAAAUAUUAGAACUUAUCAAAUUGCUAUUAAAAUUCUAUACAAAUUGCUGCUGAAAUUAUAUAUAAAUUGCUAUUGAAAUUUUGUGUAGUGUGUUGUUUUUUGAAAAUUUGGGUAAAUCGGGAAUACCCGAACCCAAACCCAAAUUAUCGGGUACCCGAAAUUGCGGGUAGUGUUUUUUCGGGACUAAUAUCGGGUAACAAUUUUCAUUACCCGAAUUACCCGACCCGAAAAAAUCGGGUAACCCAAAUGCCCAGGCUCAUGUAUGGUGUUUUCCUUAUGCUUCAAAUAAUUAAAUAGGAGAUAGAGGAAUGAAGUACUAUGUCUAUGGACUGGAGAACUAAUCAAUGUAUGCUCGGUUUAGGAUAAUACGUGGGGAACUAAACUCUAAUAUAGACAUAAAUGAGUGAUUGAUAGAGUAGUAGAGGAGGCUAUGUGCGAGAGGGAGGUUACAGAUUUGAAUCUUGUCGGCCACGUAGCGCGUGAUUUUGCGCUAAAAAAGUGCGCGACUUUAUAUUCUUUGGAUACUGGUGGUUACUAGUAUUGUGUCCAUUAAAUUUUUGCUACCUAUGAUAUCUCACUCAUUUCAAAUGAAACUAUGAUGAUAUAUGUUGGGCUCGAUAUUCAAGGUUGAUAAACCUUGUACAACUUUGGACGCAUUGUCAUAUGUACAACAUUUGCAUCCAAUGUUAGCUUGAGGUAUGCACAAAGUUGCACAAUUGAACACACAUGCCCAAACAUGUGGCUACAUAUUGACAUAGACAAUUAGACAACAAACACAUAUUUCUUAAAUGAGUACAUCAUUGCUAAAAAUGGCAACGGGCACAAUGCCCGCGGAUACUAGUGCCGCAUGCCCGCACCCGCGAGCAAACUUGUGUGCCCGUAUCCGCGCCCGUCAUCCGUCGCGGGCGCCAUCCUGUCCCCGCGCCCGCCAUCCGCGGGCAUUCCUUGCCCGCGGGCGUGCCCGCGUGCCCGCCAGAUCUGGCGGCGAAAGGCAACUGGACGAGGAAGGCAGCUUGACGAGGACGAGGAUGUGCGCCGGCGUGAAGUAACCCGGUGCAGAGCAACUUGACCACGGCGCAAGUAGGGAGGCGCGACGCAGCCGCCACGAGUGGAGGAGCAAAAGUCGAGUCGCGUGGGUGACGGCGAGGGUCUGUGGCAGUGGGUGUCUCCGGUCGCCGUGAGUGGAGAAAGAGCAGGAGCAGCAUGCGACCGCUCACGCGACCGAGUGGAGGAGAGCAGAGCCCGCGCAUGCGACCGAGUGGAGGAGAGCAGAGCUAGAGCCGCAUGGCUUGUGAGUUGUGACGGUGAGGAGGGGAGCAACAUGCACUGGGGAUGGCGAGGAGAGGGUCGCGCGAGUGGCGGCGGCGGCCGCUAGUCGGCUGCUGGGGACGGCAAUUUGGGAGAAAGAAACCCUAAUUUGAAGAAUAUAUACCUCUUUUUAAGUGACCCCACUUGUCAGUGCGGGUUUGGCGGAUUUGCGGGUGCGGGCAAGGUAUUCUCUUGCCCGUAUAUCUUUGCCCGCUGGGCACAACUGUGUGCCCGCGCCCGUGCUCGCGGGCACAAAGUGACGCCCGUAUCCGCGUCUGACGGGUCGGGUGCCCGCGGGCACGCGGAUAUUUCUUGCUCGUUGCCAUCUUUAAUCAUUGCACAUGUAUAUCUAUAUCACACCACGCAAGCUGUCCACGUCAGUAUCCACUAGCACAUCCUACUAGCACAUGUAAAUAUUUUGGUCAAACAUAAAAUGUGUUGACUCUUCAAAAAAAUUGGAACGGAUUAUAAUUUAGAACAGAGGCACUAGAUACUAAUUUGGUGUCAUAAGUCUUGAUGCUUUUUUUUAUAAAUCUGGUUAGAUUUUAAAAGGUUUAAAUUAAGACAAGCGUCGAAGCAAAGGGAGAGUAAUACAAUAAGGGCUAAUUUGAAAAGCAAAGGGAGGUACACCAGGGAUGGAAAAACCUUUUAUGAUAAACUAAAUAAUUAUUUAAAUUAAAAUUUUCACCGAUCCUAAAGAGAUUUGAGUUUACACAUUAGCCCUAAAGGGAUAGCAUAUAAUACUAGCGCGCUAAUUAAAUACCAUAAAUGUGUAAAGGAUGAGAGAUGAUAAGUUGAUAAUGAUGCAUGAUUGGGUAGUGUUCGAUGAUGCCAACCAAGAAGAAGCCAAAGAAAGAUGACUGUGGUACCGUACCGAAAAAGAUGUAAUGGCCCACCCAACCAGUGUAAUCAAUUGCAACUUUCCUGCCCCUCAUUCGAUUUCCCUCACCAAAAAGAUACAUGGCUCAUGUUCCUAUGAACUGUUGCUAAGGUCAUGCAAAUUGCAAACACCACCAUGCAUGUGUGCUCUCGAUCUGUCUCCUACAUGUAGGGAACUAAGUCAUGAGAGAGGAGUCUGUCUGAAGUUCUGUACUUUGGAGUGGCAUACAUGCAUGCAUAAUUGCAUAUAUAUGCCAGGUUAGUUAGAUACAUCACCGCUUCUAAAUGCUACCUCUUUCCAAGAAGAUAGCAUUUCUAUCGUCUAAGCCAGACAUUUAUAUGUCUCAGAUAAAUCUAAUGAUAUGUUUUGAAAACAAUGGCAGGAGCUUUGCUGAUCAUGUAUUCAUAGAUAACAAAAGCAUAUCAACAAAGAAAAGAGGAAAUAAAAAUACUCAAAAGCCGUCGAUAUAUAUAUGGUUAAACUUGUCAAAUAGUCAGACCGUAGGUUAGUCAAGGUUGUCAAAUAUUUGGCUCUAAUUCUUCAAUCAGAAAUUCAGAACUCUUGCAUACAAUACAAGGCAGUCAGCAGUGAGUGGAUGCAUAAUGGAAGAGCGAGGAAAAUGUAAAGAACACUGGAGCUGGAGGACAAGGCAUGCAUGCUAUAUAUGAAGAGGAAAAAUUAAAUUAGGCCUUGUUUAGUUUCCAAAAAAUUUUGCAAAAUUUUUCAGAUUCUCCGUCACAUCGAAUCUUUAGACGCAUGCAUGGAGUAUUAAAUAUAGACGAAAAUAAAAACUAAUUACACAGUUUGGUCGAAAUUGACGAAACGAAUCUUUUGAGUCUAAUUAGUCCAUGAUUGGACAAUAUUUGUCAAAUACAAACGAAAGUGCUACAGUAUCAAUUUUGCAAAAUUUUUUGGAACUAAACAGGCCUUAAAAGCGAUUCCCUUUUGUUGCGCUCAAAAGGCGCUAGGGGUCCAUCGACCGUCCGGGCUCAUAGGGAUUCGGAUGGGAUGUUCUUCUCGCGUUGCUGUCUGGAUUGGACUGAACCGCUUGGGCUCACCUGCUCCGCUCCCGCCUUUAUUUGAUCUCCCUGUCUCUUCCGCUGCAGCAUUGUUCAACUCCUGCACCUCUUGCAAGGCUGCACGCAUGCAGGGCUACUGCUCACGCAGUCCGGGCCCACGCGCCUUGUCCUCGCCCACCUAUCCCCACGCGCCAACGUGGAUUAUUCGCGUCCAACGUGUCCGGGCGUCUUUCUCUGUGUCUUGAACAGUAUAAACACUCUCUCGGCAGCCACUCGAAAAGUUUAUUUUAGAAUGAUAAAGUUAAACAACUUAUUACCAUUCGGAAUAAUAGAGCAGUUAGUGAUAUUAGUGUCAGAUGAAAUUCUGAAAAUCUUCCCGUCGACAGGUAAGGAAACACGCAGAAUGCAGUGCCGAGCCAUCCAUGGUCAUCUACUCUUCUGACACUGUACUGUUUGCUCUACCUGUAGGGUGUACACUCAGAGACUACGGUCUUGUUUAGUUCCUGAAGUGAAAAGUUUUUUUAGUAGUGUAAUACUUUUGUUUGUAUUUAAUAAUUAUUGUCCAAACAUAGACUAAUUAGUUUUAAAGAUUCGUCUCGUAAAUUACAGAUAAACUAUAUAAUUAGUUUUUUUAUCUAUAAUUAAUGUUUUAUACAUAUACCACAAGAUUUGAUAUGAUAGAGAAUCUUAAAAAGUUUUUGAAUUUCAGGUGUAACUAAACAAGGCCUACCUGGUGACGAUUUGAGUAGGUGAUGAGAUUUUAUUUUCCUUCAAGUCGUCGGAUGUCCUAAUACCUAAAACAUUGUAUAAAGAAGCAUAAAAACUAGUCAAUAAAGGUAAAUGAACUUAAAUAGGUAUCCAAAACAAUCAAUUGGAGUACUCGCGUCCCCAAGUGGCCUAAAGUUCUACAGACUACAUAACACACGCCAUCAGCAGCAAGCGGGUCAUAUUUUGAUGAGUUCCAUUGAUAAUCACGGCCUGUGUUACACUGGCCUGCCAAAAAGCCCACUGCAAUGACUGAAAAAGCCCAGCCCAAUUAGGGCCUAUAUAGCUAGCACUAAAAGGACAUCAAGCGAGGACAGCACAAAGCCACAAACCGGCAUGAUAUUUCACAGUGCGGUCACUUUCGACAAAUACAGAGAAAGCCAACAUUGUGAAUCUGUGAUGGCGUUUGAAGUUGAGGACAGUGCUUGGCGGCGGCGCCAUGUACUCAACGGGUUUGGCCGUUUCAGUAUACUCACUCAUAUGUUGUCAGCUGGUUCGUAUUUGUCAUCUUCAGCAGCGUUGUUAACAAAGUAGAUGCAAUCGUCAGGCAGGCUGACCCAAUCUGAAUCUACAAUCUUGUCUGUGAUGAUCCAAUCGUUUUUGGUGCUGUAGUAGUCGUUUGUUCUGUCCCACCGGCAGGAGAUUGUUUCUCCACUUAACACCUUAACUCUAGCAAAGAAACUCUGGUAGUUAGGGCAGUUGUGAUUCGUUGUAGGAUCACGUUUCCAUAUGAAUAAACUUAUUUUUAUUCAAUUUUGCAAUAUAUACGGAUAUGCUUAACAAUUACAUAUCCUUGCGCUAUUUUAACAUAAAUCUACUAAUCAACGAUUAUGCAUGUUAACAUGUUAGCACCUGGCAUGCUAAGUCAGUAUAUAUUAGACCGAUUACUUUGUCCAUCUCUGUACUGAUCUGAUCCUGCUUCCAAAUAUAUACUGUAUAGAAUAAAAGACGGAAGAUUUUUUUUUCCUGCUCGUUUUCAUCCCUAAGGCUACAACAAGGGCAGACGACCACCUAUACUAGGCGCCAAUCAUCAACGAUCUGAUUCUGUUUCUGCGUAACAAGUACGAGGCGGCAAUCAACCAUCUGUUUCUGCGUAACAAGGUCUCCUUCUGUUUCUGCAUAACAAGGCUCUCCGUUUUUGGACGUGCACCGUAGCAACCCCCGUGACCUUGCCACCGGCAUCAACCGGAUGCUGCUCUGCUACCAGCAGCUAGCCCGUCUCUACAGAUUCCAUAAACCUGACAACAAUUGGCAUCCAUGAAAGGCUCUACAUACAAGAAUCAAUCAACCUUGGGCUUUUCCAGCGGGGGAAAAGAGCAUGGAAAAAUAAACUUCCAAAUAUAGUGCUCCGCGAUUGCAAUACAGUUUCAGACCAACAAACAAUUUCAAGUUCAGAAUCAACAUUUUAUAGGCAAAGCAAAGUUGAACAAUACAUAUAUCUCCUCAAAUAACAACUUUGUUUCGCCUGGUUCAGCUUAAGUAGAUGCUUAUAAGAUUACAUGUUCCACUUAGAUUAGAACAAAAAGCUCAGGAUCAGCUAUGCCACUGCCACUAACACUUCUUGCAGGCCUCCACUCCUGUUCAUGAUCUCCCUGACUAUCUGUACUGCUCAGGGAGCCGAUAGCCUGUCAUGACUAUCUUAUCUGCAAACAUCUUGCCAGUCUUUGGCAUAAUGUGCCAGUGCAUUGUUAAGUUGAAUUCCUUGCCCUUUAGAUUGCUUCCCUGUAAUGAGAUAAAAACAAGUCAUUAAUCAACCAUUCAAUGCAAUCUCCGAAGAAUCAUAUGACGCAGUACAUAAUAACUUUUUGGUAGUUGCAAAGUACAGCAUGUGCACAUUGAUCGAAGUAAUGAACAGAACGUAGGCCAGUACAAACCUAUCCUAACACAAAUAAAGGAUAUUGAUAUCAAAGAAUACUCAGUACACCAGUAAUGGUCAACCUGUACUUAUAUACCAACCCAAAAUUAAUGUCAAGAACGAACGACCACAUGGGAAAUGGGUGUGGGUCUGGACCCAAUACUGUUCUACCAGAAUUUACGUAGAUUUGGAAUUUCUAUUGAGUAGGCUGAAAGCCAUGUAAAAACAUAAACUUGUUUGCAUGGUUCAGCAUCAUGAACAAUUAUAAGUAGAUCCCUGGCUCAAAAUACAUAUACAGAAAAUGGAAAAGACCCUUAUUCAUAAAAAUUUCAGAAUAAUACCAAAGUACAUCAGUCCCAAUGACAAAAUUUUAUAGACUGAACUAGCAUUCGAUCUAUGUAAUGUGCUUGCCUGGUCAAUAAAUCUGUACUUGUUUGUGGUAUGGAUCAAAAACUUGGCAUGCUCCUUUGCAGGUAUAAUACCAUCCCAAAGAGAAACCUGUCACAUAAUCCAAAUACACUUACAAUAUAGUUGUAAGAGAAAAUCUGAAAUAUAACAGAACCUCAGAAGGCAACAAAAAUCAUUCAAUAGGGCAACAGACAUCAUACUGGACUACUGGUAUAGAUAUCCAUAGUCAUAAAAAUAAUAUUGAACCAAGGGGAUAGACAUUUCAUAGGCAUUGCACUUAGGUCAAGAAAAGACCCUGAAAGUCAGCUACUAUCUGCAAGCUAAAGCUUUACUAGCUACCAUGCCAGGACCACAGGGAAUACACAACAAGGGGGUUCUUUUUGUGAGAACCAGGGUUCAAGCCGUGGUUGGCAGCUCACUUGGAAGUGCUACCACCAUGCUAUGUCCACAUUCUCUCUAUGAAGUCAUAAGAUUGUAUCACAUAAAAAAAAUAUAGUCUCGAGUUGCUCACCCAAAGUUCAGAAAACCAACAGUAAUUGUGCAAAUAACAAAGUGGUACAGGUAUCCAUUAAGUCCAAGAGUAUAUAUCACAUAAAUAUAUAGAGCAUAGUGUCAAGUUACUAGCCGAAAAUUUGGAAAACCAGCAGUAAUUAUGCAAAUUAUAAAGCUAACAUCAAGAACACUGUCUAUCUUGUUCUAAAAUGUUAUUUUGAAGUUCCUUCGAUCAGAUUUAUUAGCUAGCUGGCUCUAGAAGGACAUGGAUUAAUUAAGCUAACAGACUUGAGUUUUUCCCUGAUAUAUACUUCAACUGUAGUUCACCUAGAUUUACAUAUACAUGUGAAGAAAAAAAAACCCAUCAACAACACAUGUAAAAGGCUAAUGGGCUAGGUCAAAUUGUAUAGCUUAGAAAGAUUUGGCACAACCACACAGCAAAGUAAAUUCGCUUUCCAAAACCACUAUAUCUGUCUGCCACAACUCCCAAGUCCCAACUUAUGUUGAAGGACAGACCAAGAAGAAAGCUAUAUGACAUCAUUACUGCAACCCUCAAGCAAGUGGCAAUUGCAUGAUAUUGGCUAUUGCAAUGCAGUACCAAGCAGAAAAUUCAUGCCUCUAUGGACAAUUGAUGCAGGCUUAUUGUAACUGAUAAUCAUAUAUGAGCCACUAUAAUAAUCGCCCAAUCACAAGUAAUAUAUUGACUCAAGAAUAACAAUCGACAGACUUACUUGAUUCAAAGCAUUCUGUGGAGUCUCAUACUCUGCUGCCACAAAAACAAACACCUACAGUCAUGCAGCGAAAGUAAAGUUAAGCAGACAGAAGCAAGAACCUUCUAAAGUUUCGCUUGAACAGCACUAAUAGAUCAGGUGCAUUAGAAAUUCAGUUGCACAGAUGUAUUAUAAUACACUGAAAUUUUCUGUGGCAAAUUUCCAUUAUAUUUCUUAUAAUAGAUCAUUCUGCAACAAAUGAGAACACUGUAAUACAGUUAACCAAAACUCAGGCUCAAAUUGUCAUUCAAAGACCCAGACAGCAACGAGAGAGUACUUCAUGUGCUCAAGGAUUCCUCUUCAGUUACUUUUCUAAAACCAUACUUUCUAGUGCAGAAAAACUUAGUAAUGAUGUGGAAACUGGAACAUGAGGGGAAAGGGUAUCAAGUACCAGAAAUAGAAAUUACCUGUUUUGUGUUCCACGUGAAAAGAGAUGAAAGGUCUGCCGAAAUGUUCAGCGUCAUGCUAACCUGAACGAACAAAAGAAAUUAAUCGUUACAAAUUCGAGGCACAUAUCUGACACAACUAGUCUGAUGCUAGGUUUGACUAAUUUGCAAACAAAAAAAGGAUACGGAUAUGAGUUACCUCGUCGUUGCCGUUGGCCUCCUUCUGGAACCAGUUUAUAUUCAAGAUCUGUGUAACCCAAACGAUGGGGAUCCCAUUAGCAUGACACAUGAAGAUUGUACAAGCAGAUCGAGCCGCCCACGCUCGAACUCACAAAUUAAGAUAGGUACGCCGGCGGAGAUCGGACACAACGCAGCCAGGCAGGCUCGACGGGAUUGAGAGAGACGGGGUGGGGGCAGGGGAGAGGGAUGCGGUACCUUGACGGAGGCGGUGGGUGUCGGGGUGUUGAAGUUGUCGGAGAAGGAGGCGGCGAAGCACAUCGCGGCCAGUAUGGUGACCCCGAACGUUGCCACCGCGUUGGCGCGGUGCCCAAAGGAGUGCAUCCUGUCGCGGCUCCGCUCCCUCCCUUACCGCGCCGCAGCAGCCGAGAUCGCCGGGCCUGCCUCUGCCGCUGCCGCUCCUUCUCCUUCCUCCUGUCGCGGCGGCGCCGGCGACUUCACUGCAGUUUCCUUCCCUCUGUCUUCGUUUCCUCGGGAAGUGCUUACGGAAGAGAGAGAAGUUGGCCCGUUCAGAUCCCCCUUGACGGGCUGGGACCCGCCCGUCGGUGAGAGCCGCGAGUCUGACAUGGCACGCGCUGAUUGGUCGACGCACGUCACGGAGGAGGGGCUCAGCCAGUCAAGAGUCAGGGUGCACGUGGGCCACAAAUGGACCUAUUCCGGCCCAUUCGUACGAGUCGACCCAGGAAGCUUACAAAAUCUCCCAUUUGGCCAUGGGAGGCCCGGCCUGGCCCGGCAGUGAAAGAGAGUGAACGCGACGCAGCCGAGGCGGGAAACCCUAACCUAAUCCUCGGGUGGCGGCGGCGGUUUAGCGCGCGUUUAACUUUUAAUAUAAUCAGGUCAGGCCAUGAGCCCAGGACGCUGACGGCUGACGCAGGGCGGCCCCGUUUGGGCAAUGUCACAAUCGGCAGCCCGGCGCCAACCACCGUCCACCGUUGUUGCUUCCACACCACAGCCACACGCACCGCCAACACCCAGCGCAUCGGCCGGCUGGCGGCGCCCGCGACUUGGCUGUCACCACACGCGCCCGCCGACGCCGACCAGGUCCCGUAUACCCGCAGCGGCGUCGCCGUUCCCGGAAACCAACCGCACACGCUAAUCAAAAAAAAGAUUAGUGGAGCACUGCCCGCCUGACCCUUCCUUUCUCGUUCUUUAGCACCUGCUCCACGAGAGCACGCCAGCGGAAAGAAAAGGAUUAGUAGACCAGAAGCUUAAGGCUAGCUACAGAAAGACUGCUGCCUUGCUGUUCAUUUCCCUUGCUUGUUGAGCCGUUAAGCGUAGUACGUGCAGUUUGUUCGUUUAUUCCAUUCCACGCAUCCCAACAAUUCGUCAAUCCCCAGCCGCACGCACGAGAGAGGGAGAUUCCCUGCUCCGAGCGUCUUCGCUGCCUUGUUGGUUUCCGUCCUGUCCUUCGCUUGCUUUGACUUGGGGUAGUUGGGUUUUCUUUCUCCCCCUCCCCUUCCUCCAGGCUUGCUGGGGAUUUGGUUGCUUCCUGUCGGGUUUUGAGAGGAGCGGCGCUCUUGAAUUGUUGCUUUCAGUUGGUCCGUUUGGCAAGGUUUGACAGGAGAAAGGUGAGAUUUCUGUCGAAUUCCACCUUGGUUCCGUCGAAUUUGGGAGUUUCUUGAGGAUUCGAGGCGGCGUUUGGUGAUUGCGAGAAGAGGGUAAAGGAGUAACCUUUUGGUUGUAGGUUUGUUGCCGGAGAUGGGCAAGCCGUCGCUGAAGAAGAAGAGGGCCUCCGGCGGCGGCGGCAAGUCCGGGGACCAUGGGGGCAAGUCGGCGUCGCUGGAGCGGUCCGGCUCCAAGGUCCUCGACGGCGACGAGACCCUCUUUACGGACAUGGCGCAGGAGCACAAGGAGGAGGGCAACAAGCUCUUCCAGCGCCGGGACUACGACCGCGCGCUGCUCAACUACGACAAGGCCAUCAAGCUGCUGCCCCGGGCGCACCCCGAUGUCGCCUACCUCCACAGCAACAUCGCCGCCUGCUACAUGCAGAUGAGCCCGCCCGACUACUACCGCGCCAUCAACGAGUGCAACGUCGCGCUCGAGACGUCGCCCAAGUACACCAAGGCGCUGCUCAAGCGGGCGCGCUGCUUCGAGGCGCUGGGCAGGCUCGACCUCGCCUGCAGGGACGUCAACAAGGUGCUCGUUCUGGAGCCCAACAACCUCACUGCGCUGGAUGUGGCCGACAGGGUGAAGAAAUCCAUGGAGGAGAAGGGGAUUGUGUUGGACGACAAGGAGAUCAUGCCCACGCCGGAGGAGGUAGUGGCCGCUGCGCCCAAGCAGAAGCCGCGCAAGAAAAGGGGAGGACGGAAGUUUGCUGCCAAGGCUGCGGCUGCUGCUGUGGAGGAGGUCGAUGAACAGAAGAUUGCGGAAGCUGUCAAAGAGGAGGAAGUGGAGGAGCAGCCAAGGCAGGUGAAACUUGUGUUUGGGGAGGACAUAAGGUGGGCUCAGGUGCCGGCGAGCUGCAGCAUGGCACAGCUGCGCGAGGCCGUCCGGAGCAAGUUUCCUGGGCUCAAGGCUGUUCUUGUCAAGUACAAGGACAAGGAGGGUGAUCUUGUGACAAUCACCAACCAGGAUGAGCUGAAAUGGGCUGAGGACUUGGCUGAGGCUGGGAGCUCACUUCGGCUGUAUGUUACCGAGGCCAAUCCAGAGCAUGAACCUUAUGUUGAUGACACCAAUAGUGGGCCAUUGGAGAGAAAUGUAAACAGUGCUUCGGAUAAUGGGAGUAUCAGAAGCAAUCGGCAGGAUGAGGACAGGAGCACGGUGACUUGUAUUGAUGAUUGGAUUGUGCAAUUCGCUCGGCUUUUCAAGAACCAUGUUGGGAUUAGCUCUGAUGAGUACCUGGACCUCCAUGAGGUUAGUAUGAAGCUCUACACUGAGGCAAUUGAGGACACUAUUACUACUGAAGAAGCCCAGGAGGUGUUUAAUCUUGCUGAGGGAAACUUCCAGGAGAUGGCAGCACUUGCAUUUUUCCACUGGGGUAAUGUUCACAUGUCCCGAGCCAGGAAGAGGUUGCUGCUAUCAGGGGACUCCCCAAGAGAAUUGGUGCUUGAGCAGGUGAAGGAAGCAUAUGAAUGGGCAAGGGACGAAUACAAUAAGGCUGGAAAGAGAUAUGAAGAUGCCGUGAAGGCCAAACCAGACUUUUUUGAAGGUUUCCUUGCACUUGCACAUCAGCAGUUUGAACAAGCAAAACUGUCAUGGUACUAUGCAAUUGGUAGUAACGCAGAUUUGGACAGCUGUUCUUCCGAAAUCCUGGAGCUCUUCAAUAAAGCCGAGGAUAACAUUGAGAAGGGUAUAGAGAUGUGGGAGUUAAUGGAAGAACAGCGUCUGAAGAAUCGAUCUAAACCUAGCCAGGAGAAUGUUGUGCUAGAGAAGAUGGGCUUGGAGGAGUAUAUCAAGGAUGUGUCCACUGAUGACGCGGCUGAACAGGCUUCCAAUUUGAGGUCUCAGAUAAACAUUUUAUGGGGUAUGCUCCUCUAUGAGCGUUCAGUUGUGGAAUUUAAAUUAGGUCUUCCAAUGUGGGAGGAUUGUCUGAUGGCAGCUAUUGAAAAGUUUAAACUUGGGGGAGCUUCUGCUACAGAUAUUGCUGUGCUGGUGAAAAACCACUGCGCCAAUGAAACUGCCCAAGAUGGUAAGAGAAAUUUACUGCUUUAUUUUUGUCUACUUUUGGCGUGAGAACUACAUUGUUGAUUUUGCUGGAGAAUACUAGAACUAUAAAGGGAUUAUUAUGCAAAGUGUUAAUUGAAUUGUGCUGACUACCAUUUAUUUUGUGAAUCCUUUAUAGUAGUCACACUGAGCUUGUUAGAUUAAUUAUUGGACCUUGACAUUUGGGAGUUCACCUAUUAUCAUUGUUUAAAAUAUUAUUAUGUAGCACAUUCAUUAACUGUUAAAUCACGUUCAGCAUAUUUUCUCUUAAAAACAUUGUGCAAAUGAUGAUUGCAUAGCACAAUCAUUGACGUUAGUGGCUGAGGAUUGUAUGCUAUGCUGAAUGUUUCCAAAUCCCACCCUUAUUAUUCAAAGUCAUCCUUGAAUGUUCAAAAACAGUGGAGAAAGUAUUAAGUAUUAACUAUGAUUGUCCAAUUUCUUUGUAGGUUUGGGCUUCAAGAUUGAUGAAAUUGUUCAAGCCUGGAAUGAAAUGUAUGACAUUAAACGGUGGCUGCGUGGUGUUCCAUCCUUUCGUCUUGAGCCAUUAUUUAGGCGAAGGGUUCCACAAUUGCAUACUGCACUUGAACAUAUAUAGUACUCAUGAAGCUGCUCUAUAGCGUAUUGAAUUUCAAGGCUUUUUUUAUCAGUGCCACUUUUCUCUUUUUGGUGAGUACAAUAACUGCAUGUUUAUCUUGUAAUAGAUUAGUUUUAUUCAUAUGAGGAUGCAGUGUGCAUUAUGAUAUUCAUUGAUUUUUUUCCUUUAUCUGCAUCCUUGCACUUUCUAAGGUCAAAUGUUUGUGACUAGAUCUUUUCCAUGCCAUGUGGUUUGGGAAGCGGUUGAUGUACUUUGCUUUGAUUUGAAGAUAGCUGUAGAAGUGAUUUGAUUGUGGUGCAACAAGUUUGUUCUUUUUUUUCCAAGAAGAAAUUUUCCUAACAUAUUCAAGCACUAGGAUUCCAUUGGUGCUGUUUCCACUUUUAUCAUCAAUACAUGUUAGUACUUACUGAUUAAAUUCACAUCCCUUGGUAUAUGAACUUCAUUGCUUUCUGAUUGUGCCUUCAAAGGGGAAACACUGUAUCAUCGAUCUGGUCACUGCUAUGUAAAAUAAUUUUAUAGGCGACUACCAGUUUUACAGUUUCGAUGAUCUGUUUUAGGGACUUCAACCUAGGUAGUAGGCAAAUUUUUCCACUGGUGUGAACUCUGAAUAUAAUUUUUUUUAAGGUGGACUUAAAGUAAACUUAAGCAUGUUUGCUUGAAGCAGCUCAGAACAUCUUAAAAGGUUGUGGAUUUGUGGAGUCCAACACCAGUUUGGUGUUCCUUUGUACAGUUUUACUACCAGACUACAAUUCAUUGUUUGUGCCAUGAGCCCAUGAUCUUUGUAAUUCAAGUCAGAUGAUAUGUGUCUGCCCUUACUGAAUUUUCUAAUUGAUUUCACUCUGCAGGUCAAUUGCUGCAUGGGAUACACAUGGAUUUGUUAUGUUGCAUUUUUUUUAUACAUGAAAGAGUCUGCUUCCUGGUUGUGAAGCAAUUCAUACACAAGCCUAUUCUUUUCACAAGGCUGGUAGCCCUCUGCGAUUUGCAUUCGCUAGUUCUUGUUUUGGUCAGGUUUGCUAUGUAACGCACAGGAAGCUGUGCUUUUGUUAUUGAAUUAGUGAUUCAUAUUCAUAUGAUUGUGACAUGGUAGUCCAUCGUUGGAGGAUGGGAUUGGUCGUAUCCUCCUCUUGCUUUGUGGUAUUUUAUCUGUUCUGCAACACAAUGUGCAAACCCAGUUAGGCUUGUACUACAGUCACAUUUAGAAUUCGUUGUCGUUUAAGCUUGAAAGAAUGAAAAGAAAAGAAAAAGAAAAAGAAAAGGCAUAGUAUGUUCAUGUUGAGCUGCUUUUGCCUUUAUGCUCCAUCAAGGAUUUCAUGAGAAUAGUGUAUUUGAGAGAUAUAUAUGUAUAUACAGCUACCGUGGUCUGGGUGAGGUUUAAUUCGAUGUAUGCAGUUUAUUAUCCCUUGGGUUGUUGGCUGUUUGUUGCAGCAGAGUUUGGUGAGUUUGGGUUCACAUGUCAUACCAUGAAGGAGAGGGCAUUGCAUAAAUACUUGGUAGCAUGAGAAGGCACUCAAAGUCACAGAACACUGAUAAACGUCCACAUCCGCAGCGCACAGAUGAGAUGCAUCCCGUGCUCUGUGCUCACCAAGCUUGGGCUGGAGAGGUUUGGGGUUGGGAGGUAUCAGCAAAAUUGCAGCAGAGUACAGAAGUCUCUUGCGCGUCUUCUGGGCACCAUCCAUCUGAAGCUCAGUCUGUUGCUGUUGAGAGACAAGUAGCUGUACCUGCUAGGCUGGUCGUUCUUGUGCCCGUCCUCGCGAUGACGUUCUUGUGCCCGUCCUCGCGAUGAAGAGCGGUGGGAUUAAAGGUUUCACGAUGAAGGGGGCAGUGAACUUUACAAGCUAGCGUCCUCCGAGAGAGAGUUCACUUGCAUGUGGAAAAGUUUUGGUUUGUUCCAGGGUCACUUUUAUCUGUGCCCAUUUUUUACAUGAUAUGUUCGAGGGGCUUCCACCUCUGAUGUAGGAGAUAUGUUCGAGGGGCUUCCACCUCUGAUGUCGGACAAAUUUAACUAGAAAAGUUAUGGCUAAAAGCAAUAUUAUCUUAUUUAUUAUGAAAAAAAUAUCAUUGAAUGGCUGACUGGUUUGGAGAUAACUUCAAGCAAACAAGCUCUUAUUCGGAACUCCUAGACCGAUGCGGAAUUGGUGACUACUGACUACUGCUUGAAGAAACCACUAGGUGCUUUCACAGUAGUUGCUUGAUGUAUUUGCUAGCACGAGGCCAGCUAGCAUGUGGGUUUAGGCCAUCUGGUGCAAUCUCUACACUCCCUCCGUCCCAAAAUAAAUGUUGUUUGCAUUUUUCAAAAAAUAACUUUAACUAAAUAUAUAAUAAAAAAUAUUAAUAUUUAUAAUACAUAAUUAGUAUCAUUGGAAAGAUUAAGUCUAGUUUUUUAACAAAUUUAUUUAGAGAUAUAAAUAUUGCACAUAUCUUCUACAAAUUGAGUCAAAGUUGUGACAUGAAAACCUAAAACGAUACUCUUUUAGGGACGGAGGGAGUAGUUGUUAAGAAAAGUAACAAGUGACUUUAUAUACGACCGAUGCCAUUCAUUCGUGAUCCAAUGGCUGCUGGCCGUCUUUGCUCUCUCUCCUAAAGUCCUAAUACAAGCCUGCACAGCCCACACAAAAACAGCAACUGAGGCCCGCUUUAUGGACGGGAAAGGAACACAUAGUUCACAAGUGAAAUUUUCGACCUUAGCUUUUAGUUAAAUCCAAUAGAACAACCCAACAAGUAAGUGAUGGUUGCAUUCUAUUUUUAUUCCUUUGAUCGCUUCCAUAUGCCUAGGAAUGAGCAUAUAAUAUGUUUUUUCUUUCUCCUCGAUUACGAGCUGACUCGAGGUUCCAAACGACGUAUUGGAGGUUUAACUUCUUAUUAGGACAAAUCAUGUAGUCUUUAGAGGUGUAUACAUAUUAUUAUUAGGCUUUAAUUGUUUUAUUGUGCCUAUCAAUUAAAUAAAAAAGAUGGCCAAUAAACCAAUAUAUUUUUAGUUACCUCGCCACUAAAGAUAAACUUUCUUAACAUGGUCACUUUUGCCAUGAUCAAAUAAAAUAUUUUAGAGAAAUAGAUGGGGACGAUAUGGCUUAUGAACUACUCCCUCCAUUCCAAAUUGUAAGUCAUUCCAAGAAUCUUGGAGAGUCAAACUUUUCUAAGUUUGACCAAACUUAUAUGAUAAAAUUAUUAUUAUUAUGAUACCAACUAAGUAUCAUUAGAUUCUUCUUUAAUUAUAUUUUCAUAGUAUACUCACUUUACGUUACAAAUUUUAGUAUUUCUCUCUAUAAUUUUGGUCAAACGUGAAAAUGCUUUGACUCUCCAAGAUUAUUAGAAUGACUUACAAUUUAAGAUGGAGGGAGUAUGUAUAAAAAAACUUAAGAUAAAGUAUAUAGCAAAUUAAUAAAAGAACAUCUCGAUCCCAACCUUCGCCCACCUAAGACCUUGUUUAGAUGUUGUCAGAUUCACUUCAACCCAUAUGUAUUGGUGUGGACUGGGCAUGUGGAUUAAUAUAAAUCCAACUAGCAGCAGGGCGCGGCGGGUCUGGACCCGAAACCCGUGAGUUUCAGACCAAGGAUGGGUCCAGAUCUCGGCCCAGGUUUGCAGGUUGGGGUACCGAAACGGAGCGGGGUGGCGCGGGUUUUAACUCUCCCCCGUGUGCCCUUCGGGGACCCGAAAUGUAUCCCAUCCAGUGAAAAAGGCCCCCCAGGCGCGGCCCAUUGACCUGUAACCCUAGUAUAUGUAAUAGAAGCCCACCAAGCGCGGCCCACUGACUCUUCUUCUCCUCCCUCUUCACCUCCCGUGCCGCAGCCCGCUCGCUCCCGCUCACUCCCGCACAGGCGCCGCCGCUCCCUCCUGCACCCGCUCACUCUCGCACCCCGCACCCGCACAGGCGCCGCCGUACCUGCGGCCCUCCGCCCUCUCUGUCUGCGAUGACUGGGUGGACUACCGCCGCCGCCCUACCCCAGGUGGUGAGGCCUUUGCCUACCUCUUCGCCGGCGAUGAGCGCCCACCAGGUGAGUUCUCAAACUGUAACCUACUACUUGGCUAUUGAUGCCUACUAACUUCUAACUUUUUGCAAAAAAAAAUGGGUGUUUAUGUGUACACCCAUGCCCAUUUACUAGAUCCGCCCCUGAUUUGAUGGCUACUAACUUCUAACUUUCGCAAAAAUUAUUGGGUGUACAUGUGUACACCCAUGUCUCUUUACUAGAUCCGCCCCUGCAUUAACCUGUGAUUGCUCUGCUAAUAGAGCUAUUGUGCGUUUUACUGAUUUUUUAAUAUUCGAGUCUACAGAUCUAAUUCAUUCACUGUUAGGCAAUGUUGGAGAAUUUUGGCCCUCUUUUUAUGUGUGUGUCUUGGGUAGCAUAUAGUUUUUUUUCGAGUAGAUCUAAGCAGAUCUGGUUAGUUACAUUUACAAAUUUAACUUAAAAAGCACAAUGAACACUAGAUCAGUCAAAUACUUCACCCUGUCGAAAGCUACUGUCACUCACAAUUUGUGAGGUCACUGUUGUAUCGGGUACUAGUUGAUUGUGCCUGAGGAUUUUUUUUUAGGUUGUGAGUAAUUUAUUGAGGAUUUUUUUAGGUUGUGAGUAAUUUAUUGAUUGGGGCACGUCUAGAGUAAUUUAUUGAUUGGGGCACUUCUAGAGUAAUUUAUUGAUUGGGGCACUUCUAGAGUAAUUUAUUGAUUGGGGCAGUGCUGGCACAAAUUGAAAAAUGCACACAUGGAACUGAUCUGUUCAUCAACAUUAGUUAGGUUUUAGAGGGCUGUCUUCAUUCUCAAGUCUCAAGUUGCCACAAGCUCUCAUGUACUUAGAAAUUUCUAAGCCAGAAACCCCAGAUAAUUUUGCUGCCCCCCUAGACUUUCUAAAUGUGCCACCUUGGUUACUGCUCUUUCUUUCACUUUAUUUUUCUUUUUAGUUGUUGACGGAUGAUUCUCACCUAUAUAUCUGAUUGCUUUAUUUAUUUUUUUGUGGAGUAUGUUGUGAAAUAUUCUUUGCUUUGUUAACUUCAUCUUUUCCUUCUAACGUUGGCUUGUGCUCUGUGCUCUGUGCUGAUGCUUUCUUAGGUGCUCUUUCUUUCUCUAUUUUUUUCCUUUUGUAGUUAUUAACCGAUGAUUCACACCUAUAUAUCUGAUUGCUUUAUUUAUUUUUUUGGAGUAUUUUGCGAAAUAUGUUUUACUUUGUUUAUUUCAUCUUUUCCUUCUAACGUUGGCCUGUGCUCUGUGCUUUCUUAGGUUCAAACUGUAAAUGGUGGAGAUGAAAUAUAUAAUGAAGACCAACGGGCAAUAUACAAGUAAACUUCUUAUUUCUCUUUUUAAAUAUUUGCUCUACGACUUAAGUUGGAUAAAAACGUAAUGGAUGAUUUUGAUUGUGUUUUCAAGGUUAUUAUCUGAAAGAAUCAAAUCUGAAAAUGUCCCUGAAAAUAAGGAUGGAUCAGAUGACGAUGAUGAUGACGAUGAUGAAGAUGAGGAUGAAGAGGGUGGUGAUGACGACGAUGAUGCUGAAGAGGAUUUCUCCGGAGAAGAAGAUGGGGGUGACGACGAUGAUGAAGAUGAUGAUCCUGAGGCUAAUGGUGAAGGAGGGAGUGAUGACGACGAUGAUGAUGAGGAUGGUGAUGAUGAUGGCGAUGAUGAAGAUGAGGAUGACGAUGAGGAUGACGAUGAGGAGGAUGACGAAGAUGAGGAAGACCAGCCCCCUUCCAAGAAGAAGAAGUGAUUUGCUCUUCCAUGGAUUCACCUCAGCUUCUCCAUGCUGUUAGUUGGGUUGUUUAGAUCAUGGAACAGCUUUGGGACCAAUGUAGCUUGUUGCUUGUCGUGGUAUCGUAGUUUAGGAAAAUUUGACCUCUGAUGAAUCAUUAUCUUGUUUUCUUCACUGUGCAUGUAGUCUUAAAUUGUGUGUUCUCGAUUUUUACUUUGGAACUGUGAUUGCAUUCAAUUUUAUUCUGUUGCUCACCUCAGGCUUGGAUUGUAUGUGAUGCUAUGUUGUUGCUGAAAAGGUUAGGCUUGGAUUGUAUGUGAUGCUAUGUCUGUUACUGAGAAGAUUAGGCUAGGCCAGAAUUGAUGCUGGAGCAUCUUGUAAUGUGCUUCCAGCAUCAUGCAUUGUGCUUUUUGACAUGUAUACUACGAACCAUUAUCCAAAUUUAUGGUUACUAUUGUUGGGGUCCUUUUAUCUAAUUACACCAGUGAUUGGACUACAGGUUUGAACUGCACUCGGUUCGAGGUGUCUGACCGGGACAACAGCAGUACCACCUCUGUCAAGUGACGUUGUUACUUUUAGAUAUUUAUUUUUUUACAAAUUACAAAGUAAAUAUUUUAUUAUUAAAAUAUUUCUAAUGUUAAAAUAAGUUAUAAAAAAUAGAUAAUAUUCAUAAAAAAUUAAAUAAAGACGAAGGGUCAAAUAAGAUGACACAGAGGCUAAAACGUCAUUUUUAAUGGGAGAGAGGGAGUAAGACUUUACAACAUCUAAAGGGCAUUAGUUAUAGAUUGCAGUAUUACACUAUUUGAUCAUUAGUGAUCGGACUACGCAGUAAUACAGUUUGAGCAUUAGUGAUCGGACUACGCAAGUAAGCCAUCAUCAGUAACUGAAAAGGUAUUUAACUAAAAUUGUACUGUUGAAAGUAAAAAAAAAACACUUGAAGAAAGUGACAUACUACAAACGGCCUGACGGCACACAUUCCCCUUCAUGACAAACACAGUCCUCUUUCCCUUCCAAAAUCAUAUCAAAAUGUGAAAAAUAACCAGAAAAAAGCCUACUAUUAUACUAUAUACGCGUAAGCUCCUCUUAUCUGCAACUGACUGAAAAGGAACAUAACAUCUAUUCCCUGCCCUAGAGUUCCAUUCUUUUGCCUAGACUAAAAAAACGAAUUUUCCUUCUGAAACGAUCCUUCUGUGCAGAGAGCCAUACAUCACGAUUCAUGACUCAGGUUCUGACUUGGAAAAAUCCUGGGGCUCACUGCUUGCAAAUGCUAACCAUACAGCAGUACCAGUUAAGUAAAAGAAGAUAGAAGGCACAAAGAGUGAUAUCUGCACACAAAGCAGUACCAUUAUGGCGAUCAGAGUGAUUCAUAAAAUGAAAUAUAACUUAUGAAGAUGGAUUGAUGUCAUACACUCCAAGAAUGAGUUGAAUCAAGCAGAAAGCCUGUCAGUGCAAUGCCUACAAUUCCUGGCACAGCGCCUACAGUGUUUGUGAUUCCCUAGAGCAUGAAGGAAACAAAUAAAUAACAAUCACUCAUGAUGGAACCUAAAGAGUACAAACUGUUAGUGUCAUCCUCUUAAGAACCUAGGUGAAAGAAUGUUACGUUCCCUUUUCUCUUAUAAAGAAGAUAAAUACUGAAAAACUGACAAGACGGAACUUUAAUGACAUACCAGGAGAAUGCUUGCAUAUUCACGAGAGAUAUCUUGAUGUGUGCAAUAAAGCCCUGUUUAACAACCAAAAUAUUUAGGUUUGGACCUCAGAACCAUGCAAAAAAUGGAAUUUUGAUUGCAAUUUUAACAACAUGACCUGACAAUGCGAAGCUAGAGAGUGCUAGACCACUUGUAAGAAAAGCAACAAUUUCCCAAGGAGGCAGUCCAAGAUCCACAGAGGAAAGCAUCAUGAAUGUCGCAGGUGACACAAAGGCAAUUGUUUGGCAAAUUUUUCGUACCUACAGAAUUUAAGCAGCAUAUUCAAUUUUUUCAGUAGAUCAGCAAUUUUUAUUCUAUGAACUAACUGAAAAUGCUAUUAUGAGUUAUCACACAGCAUAUAUUAUGUUCACUCCUGAGAAUUGUCAGGGUUAUACAACCUCUAUAGACUAUAUUGGACUUCCACUUGAGGAAGCCAACAGAAGCAAUUUGGGAGUCUAGAGAGUACUAGAGUUUGCUGCAAGCAGCAGGGACUGGCACACGGUAGUCAAUCAAGGGCACUGUACUAGUAGUACUAGUGAAGUUUAAGAGGGCGCGUCGAGGACAUGUCUAGUUAAACAGAGGUGGGGCAGCACAGAUUCAAUUAGUUCUAGCUCCAGUUCCCACUUGUCAAACGCUUGUACUAGUGUUCAGCUUAUUUCUACCUCAUCAGAUCAUGUAAGUGUGCACCUCACACCCCGCGUUAUAAUCCAUUUUGAGACAACCUUCUUCUUCAUACAUAGAUAUGCACUUUCCUGCAUAUUCUAAAAAAACACAAGUGAAGUAUCACCUUACUUCCUUCCAGCUGCUACUACCAGCCCCUCUUGCUUUCUCUAGCAUCAGCCCCCCAUCACUAUUCUCUAAAAUCUAAAUGCCAACCAUAGUAACUACACAGCGGAGGUUUAACACUCUGCAACAAAGGCAUAAACAACCACCUCAAGUGGAGGUCAAAUAAAAAAAGUGAAUGCUUUACCUUCGUGGUGUCAACUCCAUUUGAUAUCAAGUUGUCUGCAAAAGGUGCUGCAAUAGAUGUAAUGAUCAUUGAACCCAAAGGAGGAAGGACUGACACCUAGAGGGAAGAAAAUGUGAAUUCAAAAGCACUACGUGAGGCUGGAGUAAAAGCUAGAUAUCAACGAAAAACAAUAGCAAAUCAAGAUCGCCUAAUGAGGGUGGGUCUUUCAAUAUGAGGCCUUAUUAAUAUAACUUAAGAAAGAAAGCAUGUACAUACCCAUGCUGCUUCUGUCAAGUUCAGGUUCAGCUCCUCACUGUGUAAGAAGAGGUGGGGAGGGGGGGGGGGUCAGUAAGAAGCUAUUGUUACAAAUAUUUGACACAACGUAAUGAUUAAUGAUGACCAUACAGAAACAUUUAACACUUCCCUACAUUUAUAGAUCGGGUAACAGGUCAUGCUAUAGACUGACAUAUAACAUCAAAUGUACCAAUAGUGAUGAGAAAAACUACAACAAUGUGCUGUAAAUUCAUGAUAUCUGAUCUCAACAAUGGUCCCUUUCUCUAAGUACUAUAAAGUAACUUUAGGAGGGAAAUGCAAGGUACCAAACCUAAAGAACGUUGGUAGCCAAGACAAACAAGUAUAAUGCCCCCAACUUCCACAAAAGUGUGCAUAUAUCAUUGCCCACACUGCCUUGCUUUUGAAAAAUGCUCCCCAAGGCACAUCCUACAGAAAAAGUAAUGAGCCUGCUAUAUUGGCAACAUUUAUAAAACAUAAACAAUCUUUAUACAGAAAACAUUGCGUCCAUUUUGUAAGAUGUUUACAUUGCAAUAUUGCAUAACAAGAUUUUUUGAUAGUGUGAUAAACUUCAUUGGCACAUAGUCGAAUUAGAUUUUGUUCUUCUCAGACUAAAAGUUCGCUUCAUUGCAAGUACAGUGUGUUGACGCCAACUUGUUAGGAAGAUAACGUCACAGAUGAGAUGAAAUGGACACUGAAUUACAUUGGUUAUUCUACCUUGACUAUGGAACUCAUUUUUUAAAAUUUUUCAUCAAUGUCAGAACUUGAUAACAGUUCUGUGACUUGAUCCCUGAAAAUAUAGUACAGUGUGGUUUCGGUUGGCAGAAAACAACCUUUAGUGAAUUUUGCAGAUCUUCCAAUGACGAGUGUGAUGAUUCCGAAGACAUGGCGGAUGAGAUAAGACCAUCAGAUCCAGUAGAACUUUGUCCAAGGUCUGCAGAGUAGAAGUAACUUUUAUAAUGUUUGGACUGAUUAUAUGAGUGAAGUGUAACAAGCAUGGGGUGAUAGUUAAAAACAUACUUUUAGAUAACACAAUUAAGCUCAAAGGGUAGUCAACAGUGAUCAUAUAGAAUACCCUCUAUUAAAAAUGAAGUCAAAGAUAGUGCAAACCAGAAUAAGUAUAAUCAUGCAAACCAUCUUGGUUAGUGCAUAAAAUCAACUUGAUACAUGGACCUUUGAGGAGGUAGUCCUUCAUGUAAUGACCCAAGAGUAGAAGUUUUUACUCCAAACACGACUUUUUUUUUUCUCAAAUACGCAGGAGAUGCGAAUACAGAUAGUAACUAGCAGAAACUUGAUCAAGGAAAUUCUCCAUGUCUUUGGUGAGGCAUCAGGUCUGGUUACUAGCAUUUCUAAAUGUUUCGUGAGUCCAAUCCAAUGCAGAGCACCAAGAUAUUGAAGUUGUGCAAGAGGCCUUCCAUGCAAAAUGCAAGAAUUCCCCUGCAAGUAUCUUGGUCUUCCACUCUCUGUCAGCAAACUUUUUAAGGCAGAUUUCUGUGCAAUAAUUGACAAGAUUGCUGAUAAGUUACCUAGAUGGAAACCAAGUAUGAUGCAUCGGCCACCCUCAACCGUUCAGUGCUCACAGCUAUUCCAAUGUAUCAGCCCAUAGCAUUGGAAUUCCCUAAAUGGGCAAUUAAAGCAGUUGGUAAGAUUCAAAGAGCUUUUCUAUGGAAAGGCCGCAAAGAGGCCAAUGGAGGCCAUUGUAUUGUUGCUUGGGAGCGGGUCAAGACACUAAUUUUUUUCUCGAACAUGCAGGAGAGCUGUGUAUAUUUAUAUUAUAAAGAAAGAAAGGGGAUAGAAGUCCCAUAUAAGGCAACCUCUAUGCCUCGCCUAUGAGAUAAGAGGAAGGUUGUAAGGAAAAAAACACCAUACAGCACUCAACCCCAUUUUAUAAGGAAGAAACGACCUGACCUGUCUAGACACUUACACUAGCACCUCUCCACAACCAAAAACUAGCUUCUGAAGUUUUCGAGCACCAGCGAAGCACCAAAGACUCAAUUCCUCUUUGAAGGAAUGUUGUGCCUUUGCUAGGGAAGGAGUUGCACCGUCAAAAGCUCCUCCAUUCCUGUGAAGCCACAAGGUCCAUGAUCCCAGGAUCGCCAUACUGUUAAAACCUUUUCUUUGGGCCUUCGCAAUUUUUUUUGUUUGCUUUUCUGCAACAAUCAGCGAAGCUUUUCUUGUUCCUUCUAGGUACAGUGCGCUCAAGCCCAAGAGGGGCUACGGAAUUAUACCAAAAUACCUAGCAAAACACAAUUAAUAAGGAUAUGCUGCAAUGUCUCCAGCACUUAUUUCUAAUCGCUUGCCAUACGAACACCUUGCAUUUGGGAGGAGCCCAUGACUUUCAGAAUUGAUCUGGGAGGUAUGGGAAUUCUUGAUUUAGAGAUCCUUGGAUGGGCAUUGCGAAUGAGAUGGUUGCGGCUUAAAAAGACCCAACCUGACCAACCAUGGGCUGGUCUAGAUACCCAAGUGCAUCCAAUGCAUUUGCUCUGUUCUCCAUCUCAAUAUCCAAGUGAUCCGAAUGCAUUUGCUCUGUUCUCCAUCUUCAUCACAUCUAUUGUUGGGGAUGGCAACAUAAGUCUUUGUUGGAGCAACAAGUGGCUACAUGGAAAAUCCUUACCUGACCUUGCACCUACUCUUUGUGCAUAUGUGAGAAAAAGAAUUGCUAACUGAAGAAAGUAAACGGGGCCCUAAGAGAUAACACCUGCAUUUGUGACAUUAGAGGUGUCAGCGGAGGCAUUAUCUGAAUACCUCCAACUUUGGGACCCUCUAAUCAGGAUUGAGCUCAGUCCUGGAGUAGAUGACCAGCAUAUGGAUGCCAUCCAGUGAGUUCACAACAAAGUCAGCUUACUGCCAUAUUUGUGGGAUCAGUGGAAUUUGGGCCAUGGAGGUAAAUAUCGAAGACCUGGGCUCCACCUCAUGCAAAUUCUUUGUUUGGUUGGCCUCCUUAAACCGUUGUUGGAUGGCUGAUCGUUUGUCGUGUCAUGGACUUGAUCAUCCGGAGCGCUGCCCAUUGUGCGAUCAAGAGGAAGAGAAGGUGUAACAUUUACUCACUUCUUGGGUAUUUGAGAGUGUGUGGUUUUUAGUGCUAUCAAUUGUUGGGCUGCAGCACUUAGCUCCAGGCUUGGAGAACUACAAGUUUACAGAAUGGUGGUGUCAUGCUUUACAGAAGGUUCCCAAUUUAUCUCAUAAGAAUGGCUGUAUUUUUUAGGGGGUUUCUCCUAAUCUUGCUGCCAUCUUGUGGGAUAUUAGAGAUGAGACAAUGUUAUGGUGUAUGGCAGGUGCCAAAGGGCUCCGUAGCAGAUGGCCAUAAUUGUUUAGCUCAUGGUCGUUGGUUAUGGUUAAGAUUUGUUGGCGAAUCCUUUUUGAAAGUUCUUUGGCCAUAUAGGGGUGUACGAGUCAUCUAGACUCCUUUCUUCUUACUAUAAUGAUGCACAGUUCUCCUGUGUGUUUGAGAAAAAAACUAAUAAAAAAUUCUAAGAAAAUAUUUCUAUCAUGGCGCCUGAUAUCAUAAGGACAGUUAGACAGAUCAGCACUUACUUAAUAUGCCUUCUUUGUCACCGAACCGUUGCACUUUAAGAGAUUCAAAUCCUAAGCACCUGCAGACAAAACAGAAAAUAAAGUUCACUCACAAUAGAUUAUUUGGUACCUACAUAGAAAUAUCUGCUUACCAAACAAUCCCAAGAAGGCCAAAUAUGUAAAAGACAGACUCCCAGCCAAGGUUCUGAAUGAUGGGAGGGGCAAACAGGAGUCUGCAAUAUAAUAAAACGGGUAAAACAUUAACUGUAGCAAAGUUUCUGCUAUUACUUCAAGCUGCAUAGUCAUACAGACAAUUGUAGGGCAAUAUUUUUUUUCUCGAACAGCGCAGGAGAACUGCGCGUCAUUUCAUUAAGAUAGAGGAAAAAGUUACAUGGGUCAAGAGACCCAACUCACACACCCAAAAACUCACACACCCCACACCAGCCACUAGGAUACAGAAACGCCACUCUAAGAACAGGGAACGACCCAAAAAACCUCCAUGCCUUAAGCCCCAACAGGCAGCAACCUAACAACCAAUUCCUGGAGUUUGGAGUUCCCUGCUGAGCACCAGAGACCUCCCUCUGAGCUGAUAGCCCAAAGGACUUCCUGAAUACUUGGCCUCCUAUUAUCAAAAACACAAGAAUUGCUUCCAAAUCUCCCAAGCCACCAAAAUAAUCAAGGAGUUGAGACCUUUACGCGCCUCCUUUGGGACAGCAGCAGUUGUCUUCUUCCACCAUCCUGAGAAACGGGUUGAAGUAGGUUGUGGAGCCAACUGCAGCAGCCCUAACUGUUGCAAAACCAUAGCCCAAACUUGUCUAGCAAAGGCGCAGCCCACUAGCAAAUGAUUUAUUGAUUCAUCCUCCUGAUCACACAGUGGACAAGCCUCAGGAUGAGGAAGAUUCCUCCUAGCUAAACGGUCAGCUGUCCAAACCUUGUUGUGAAAGACUAGCCAGAUAAAAAACUUGCAUCGCGGAGGAGCCCAAGUUUUCCAGAUUCUUCUCCACGAGCCAAACUUGAUGGAUCCUUCAAAAAGUGCAGCGUAGGCCGAUUUACUGCUGUAGGAACCAUCCUGUGAAAAUUUCCAUCUAAACUGGUCUGGAGUUUCAGGAUGCAACAUGAAGCCAUCUACCAUAUCCCAAAUCUGAAAGUAUUGGAUGCGCUCUUAAGAUCCGGUGGCUGUGGGCACAAAAGACAGAUGAUGACAGACCUUGGGCUGGCCUUCCUAUUACGGUCCCUCAUAAGGCCAGGGCUCUAUUCCAUGUUGCAGUUGAUGCCAUAGUCGGAAAUGGAGAGAAAAUAUUGUUUUGGUCAGACAGGUGGUUGGAUGGGCAUACCAUGGCUGAACUAGCGCCUAAUUUGCACAAGGGGGUUCCUAAGCGAACAGCCAAUAGAAGGACCGUGGCCCAGGCCCUGCAUAAUAAUAGUUGGACCCAGGACUUUAAGGGAGCCCGUACAGUUGUAGGGCAAUAUUGUUCUGAUAAACAAGAAAAAAGUUAACAUCUGGUCAUUAAGAAGGUCUUGACUCUUGCUCAGUUAUCAAGAUUUGAAAUGAUACAGAAAACAACCAAAUUUUCCAUCAUACUAAGGAUGACAAAAUUGCACUUCAUCCAUGUGCCUUGAAGAAUGAAACAAAUGAAACCAGAAGAACAGUCUCAAGCAGUUCACGAGAAAAAGAUUUAGUAUUUUAUCUUUCUAAAUAAAUCUUUUACUGCAUUCUUCUAAGUUUACAUCCAAAUACGUAACAAGUUAGAGCAGGAAAUACUUUUUAAAGCUUUAUACUUACAAGGACAAAACAGUACUACCAUCAACCUAUAUCUCUUAUAAUGCUAGUCCCCACUACAAAUCUAUCUCAACAUGCAAACUAUCCACAUCACCCCCCAUUAACUAUCCACAACAUCUCCCACUAAUAGCCAUGUCGUCCCACUAAUUUCCAACUUCUUAAUGCAAGCUAUCCACAUCAUCUCCAUUUAAUUUUAUUCUAAUUUUUUCGUAAUCCCACAGCAACGCGCGGGGUAUCUUGUUACUAAAGAAAGUAUGUAAGCUACUGUUUAGAGCCCAACACAGAUGGAAAAAAAAUCCAAUUUAAUUGAAUUCAGCGUUUUACAUGCAUUAGCACGUACAUGGAAGUAUGUAAAUUGUUGCAUAAAGGAUCAUGAAAAUAUUGGGCACCAUGUAUAUUUUUUUCAAUUAAGGAAUAUUUUAUUAAUUUCAGAAAAUAACCAUAUAUCUUAAUACAACAUACCCUAAGACACUUCCAAAGCUCAAACCACCAAAGACAACAGCAACUGCUCUUGACCGCUCUUGCAAGGGAAUGGACCUGCAUGUGAGUGCCAACGAAAGCCUGAAGUUUCAAACUACUCUUGCAAAAUGCCAAAUUUGUAUGUCAUAUGAAACAGUGUGAAUUAUAAUAAAAAUUAAUGUGAUUGACAAAUGUAGCCAUCAUCCGACUCUGCACAAGUAGCUAUGGAAAAUUUCAUACUCUAAAUAUUAAAAGAGGAGCAUGGGGGAAAAUGCCAGUACAGAAGCUGCCAUAUUGUGCUAGAAUUUAGAACCACCACUAUGUAGAAAACAAAAUUGACACAUGUUGUGCUAAGGGAAGUCCCAACAAUAAAUGUCAAGAAAGGAACCAAACUAGGAUAAGAUCUUACCUAGCAAUUAAAUCUGUAGCAGCUGAUGGUGAAACACCUUCUCCAAUGCCUACCUAGCAGCAUCGAACACAAUUAACAAAGAAUAAAUGCAAACAAAAUAAAGAUGGUAAAAUGUUUUUGUUCAAGUUAACACACCCGAAGUACAGGUAAACAAGAUGCGAUGACUGGACACUGUGCUCAAAUGUGAAUGCUCCAGAAUUUAUGCGGAAUUAUGGAUAUCAGCAUGUCAUAAUGCUUCUGCAUGGUAACGUGUUAUUUCACUAUCUCUUUGCAAUACUUAGCUCUGGGAGUUUCAACACUUCUUGUAAUUAUCUUUGUUAAAUACAUCUGUCCCAAAAGAAUGUCAUUCUAACUUGGUCCUAAGUUAAACUGUCAUAAGUUUGACCAAACUUAUAUAACAAAGACCAAUAUUUAUGAUACCAAAUUAGUACCCAUUGGAUUCAUCAUGAAAUAUGUUUUUAUAGUAUACCUAUUUGGUAUCAUAAAUGUUAAUACUCUUCUCUAGAAAGUUACCCAAAAAUAGAAUGGCAUUCUUUUUGGGAUGGAGGUAGUUAUAAAUGUGCCCAUAUGCACGGAAUUAGGUUCUUCAUGAAGAACUACAUUUCGAGCGGCCGCUUGUGCUCAAUAUCUAUAUUAAUGUUAACUAUAUUACUCAAUACAACCCCCAUUCUCUCACUUCGAGGGAUGCAUUGACAAGGAAAUAAUGAGAUACAGAACAGUUUAAUGAAUACAAGAGCACAAUAAGUAGCGCAAAUUUCGGAUCAACAGUCCCUGAGCCGAGACUUUUGGUAAGUAGGUUACCAGGAUCCUUGACAAGACAAGCCCUGGCAUAAACCCUGCUACAACAGGAACUAUAGCAGUGGCCAAAGACCAUGUCACAACACCGACCUCAAGCACUUUCCUACAAUCAGCAAAAAAUAGAUAAAUAGACAUUAUGUGUAUUGUAGGAGUAAAAUUUGAUCAAAAUUCAUCUGUUUUUAGUUGUGAUGGUAAUAUAAAGGUAUUUUCAUCCUGGAAAGGGGUAAAACAAAUAAGGAUAUGUUCAGCUUAUGAACCAUACAGUAGCAAUUGUGAUUAUUAUAUCAGUAUUUCAUAAACAUAGGCACUCUGCAUUCGUAAAUAUUCCAGAUGAUUUGGUUACCCUAAACAAACCUUCCGCCAAACAAUUUUGCCAGCCAUCCUCCUGGUAGUUGACUCAACGCAUAACCCCAAAAGAAUGAGGACUGAACUAAGCCAGCAGUUGACGAGUUCCAACCAUAUUGAUGUGACAUUGGAAUAAUUGCGAUACUCAAGUUAACCUGCAAAACUAGAAUACUGCAAUGAAUAGAUGCUCCUCAGGAAAGGAUGAUGGACCGAGCAUUCAUAAAAGCUUUUAUAGAACUACAUAAACAUGACACGUGAAGAAGAGUGCAUUAAACUGUAAAUAGCAAUUUCAUUUCUUCAAACAAUUUCAUGCUCGUUAGGAAAUGCCUAAAAACCCUGUUGGCCCCCAGUGAAGGUUACAUGUUUGUACUAGUGAUGCAAAUGAUUGCCAAAACGAGCCCCGAAAAUGUGACAGUCAGAUAUGGCACGUUUCCUUAGGGCAAGCUGCAAUCACAAAGAAUAUUUCAUCAGUAGACUUCAGCUAAAGUUAUCUAAAGGAAACCCAGAGGAAAAAGGAAACAGUAACCACAUAGUGUAGAAUCAUUAUGCCAGUUGCCACCCAAAUUCCCAAUGAACAUCCGAUAAAUGACAUUGGUGACACUUGCUACUAAACCAUAAACCGUAGUUUUACAUGAGCAAAGCUAUAGCAGAUCAACAACUCGAAUCCAUACAAUCGUUUUAGUUCUAGCAGCUCAAAAUAUCAUAGAGGAAAAUCGUAUCAGUGCAAUUAGCCGGCUGUCAGCUUGUCAUCCCGUGCGUGCCAACUGGCAACUGCCAAGGACGGAACCGUCCACAUGUGAGACAAACAGGAUGAGUCACCUUGUCCAUGUUGCAGAUGACGAAGGCGAGCGAGGUCGCGCCGAUGAGCUUGUACCGCUCGGCCAACCCCUCCCACGGCGGCCACUUCAGCUCCAAAGCCCCGGCCACUUCCCCUUCCAACUCCUCCUCUCCCGUCGCUCCAUGCUCCUCCUCCCCAACUAUCCCCGGAAUCGAGCGCUUCUCCACGGCGCUCGCGAACCCUCCCGCGCCCCCGCCGUCGCCGGGUGACACCCUCACGGCCCGGGGCCAGCUGCGGCGCCGGUGCGGGAGGGGCACGCGUGGGCGUGGCGGGAGCAUGCGGAGGAGGGGCCGGUGGCGGCCGCUACCGAGGAGGAGCAGGUGGCGCUCGGCCUGCAGCGCCGAGGCCGUCAUGUCGUGGAGCGAGCUGCGAGCAAGGGGCGUGGAGCGUGGUGUUCGAACUCGUGCGUGCUCUGGCGAGCAGUGCCAGUAUAUCGAGCGGCCACGAGAAGAGGAAAAAGGGUGCGCAACUGUUGCGCUUUGAACUCUGUCUCUAGAGUUGCGCGGCGGAGAGGAGAGCACGAAGCCAAGAGUGUGUGGUUGCCGUGGCACGUGGGCCACACAGGGGCCCACGUGUUCGUCUACCUAGUGACGCCACGUGGCCGCUGCUUGCCUCGCUGGCAUCCCCACAUGCUACCCUCACCGGAAGAAAACGAAAAUAGAACGCAAUCGACAGCAACCAUGAAGCAAGCAAACAGUAC
RNAcentral lists this long non-coding RNA (33254 nucleotides) under Sorghum bicolor (sorghum). Its description in RNAcentral is "long non-coding RNA (SBIC_LNC003743)". The record is from RNAcentral. Lineage: Eukaryota; Viridiplantae; Streptophyta; Magnoliopsida; Poales; Poaceae.